Molecule: long non-coding RNA, 857 nt
Organism: Aegilops tauschii subsp. strangulata
Lineage: Eukaryota; Viridiplantae; Streptophyta; Magnoliopsida; Poales; Poaceae
Source: RefSeq, a predicted model, not a curated record
CCCCAAUCCCCAAUCCGAUAGUUCAUCCCUUCCUCUUGCCUUGUUCGUCGCCAUGGUCGCCCGCUGAAACUAGUCGUUUUUUUGUUCUCUGGUUCCUCUCCUCCCCUAUUCGCCGCCAUGGCCGCCCCUCUCCUCCCCCGAUCCCUCAUUCUCCCAUGACCUGGAAGCUCCCUGAACAAGGACCACCCUCGCCAUGGAUCAAUGGAGCAGCGCAAUCUCAUCUUGGAGUUCCUGUUCGAUGUACAUCGUGAGUAUUAAUUGGGACAGUACAGAUGCAGGGAGACAAGGACUAGGUGUUCCCCAUCGAUUUUUCCUACAAACUAUAAAGGCAUAUAGGAAAGGAAUCCAGACUAGAGAUCAUCAGAGACGCAGGUCACACGUUGCAGUUGGAGAGGGCAAGAAGGUUAACAAUUUCACCAAGUUGUUCUCCUAGAUGAUCCAAAUAGACCUUGAUUGGCAGAGCCUGAAACUGAAACCUGCUCAAAGCAUCCAUAAUUGCAGGAAAACUACACACAGAAUCAUUCAAGGGGCCCAAAUGGUGUAUAUUAUACUCUUUGUAGAGGCAUGUACUAAUGCUCUUAGAAGAGAGAAUUCAGUGAAGUUGAGAUUGAGAAUUAGUACUUGUAAAAAUGUUAUCUUCUCUUGCUGGUGUUGUUGUCCCAGUUUAGUUGAGAAAAGAGAAUUCAGAUAAAGCAUUUUAUUUAGGGAAUGUACUUCUGAGUGUACAGACUGUUGCAUAUGCACCAAUAUAUGUAAUAUGAAUGCAAUAUUUUCUUGUGACAUGAAUGAAAACUUUUGUGAAUUGGAAGUACUCUGUUGUUGUAACUAUCAUGGUUGCAAAUUGGCAACAUCUUAUU